This 91-nucleotide transfer RNA is filed under the name Clostridium frigoris. RNAcentral's name for it is "tRNA-Ser". It matches the Rfam family "tRNA". From Rfam's summary of the family: Transfer RNA (tRNA) molecules are approximately 80 nucleotides in length. Lineage: Bacteria; Bacillati; Bacillota; Clostridia; Eubacteriales; Clostridiaceae. The record is from RNAcentral. RNAcentral also lists the same sequence under 3 other names.
GGAGAAGUACUCAAGUGGCUAAAGAGGUGCCCCUGCUAAGGGUAUAGACUGGGCAACUGGUGCGAGGGUUCAAAUCCCUCCUUCUCCACCA